Molecule: unclassified non-coding RNA, 352 nt
Filed under: soil metagenome
Description: partial contains 5.8S ribosomal RNA, internal transcribed spacer 2, and large subunit ribosomal RNA
Rfam family: 5.8S ribosomal RNA (bases 1-120)
Source: RNAcentral
GAUGAAGAACGUAGCGAAAUGCGAUACGUAAUGUGAAUUGCAGAAUUCAGUGAAUCAUCGAAUCUUUGAACGCACAUUGCGCCCGCCAGCACUCUGGCGGGCAUGCCUGUUCGAGCGUCAUUACAACCCUCAGGCCCCCGGGCCUGGCGUUGGGGAUCGGCGGAGCCCCCCGUGGGCACACGCCGUCCCCCAAAUGCAGUGGCGGUCCCGCCGCAGCUUCCAUCGCGUAGUAGCUAACACCUCGCGACUGGAGAGCGGCGCGGCCACGCCGUAAAACACCCAACUCUUCUGAAGUUGACCUCGAAUCAGGUAGGAAUACCCGCUGAACUUAAGCAUAUCAAUAAGCGGAGGA